CCUACGUGGAGCAGCAGUAGGGAAUCUUCCACAAUGGGCGCAAGCCUGAUGGAGCAACACCGCGUGAGUGAAGAAGGGUUUCGGCUCGUAAAGCUCUGUUGUUGGGGGAGAACGUGCGUGAGAGUAACUGUUCACGCAGUGACGGUAUCCUACCCGACACUCACGUCUAACUACGUACCAGCAGCCGCGCUAAUACGUAGGUGGCAAGCGUUAUCCGGAUUUAUUGGGCGUAAAGGGAGCGCAGGCGGUUGCUUAGGUCUGAUGUGAAAGGCUUCGGCUUAACCGAAGAAGUGCCUCGGAAACCGGGCGACUAGAGGGCAGAAGAGGACAGUGGAACGCCAUGUGUAGCGGUGGAAUGCGUAGAGAUAAGGAAGAACACCAGUGGCGAAGGCGGCUGUCUGGUCUGCAACUGACGCUGAGGCUCGAAAGCAUGGGUAGCGAACAGGAUUAGAGACCCUAGUAGUC
Molecule: ribosomal RNA, 465 nt
Filed under: uncultured bacterium
Lineage: Bacteria
Description: partial 16S ribosomal RNA
Rfam family: Bacterial small subunit ribosomal RNA
Source: RNAcentral